Long non-coding RNA from Saccostrea cuccullata (small rock oyster), 1006 nucleotides. RefSeq lists it as uncharacterized. The transcript has 3 exons. The record is from RefSeq and is a predicted model, not a curated record. Lineage: Eukaryota; Metazoa; Mollusca; Bivalvia; Ostreida; Ostreidae.
UAUGAUUUGUUAACUUUGUCAGAAUUGGUUGUAUGAUCCUGAUAUGGUUUGUUAACUUUGUCAUCUAUGAUAGGUGAAAAUGCAAUCUUUAAAUUCACUCUAGCUUGGAGAAUCAAACAACAUGCAUACAUCAAUAAAAGUCUUAUUUAAAAGAGAACAGGAAAAUUAAGUUUUAAUAAUUAAAAUGCACACAGCAUGUACAGGUAUAGUUACAAAGACAAUAAUUUUUUUGACGUUGAAUGAAAUGACAAACAAAAACAAUAAUUCAUAUUUAAAUUAGCACACAUGUAUUUUGUUUAAAUAACGCAGCCAGGAUUUUAUUAAAACUCUUUCUUUUCAUGUAAUAUUUGUGAUCCACUUCCAAUCUAACUUUGUAGCAUUAGAUUAGGAUUGGAUCACUGGUCAGUUUCAGAGUCAUAGUAACCUUGCUAUGCAAUUCUCCUGCUGGGCAGCACGCUGUAGUACAGUGGUUUGCAGCUGAUCUAGGUCAGAAUUUGAAUUUUGAUAAACAAGAUGUGCGCGUUUUCUUGUUGCCGAUUUAAAAGAAAAGCCUUUGCACCAUAUAAGCAAUAACAAUAAGUGCUGGACUUUUAUCUCUAUACUCGCUACCGACAUUUCCAUCUUCAUGAUUAACAUAUGAGUUGCAUUCAAAUUACCAAAUUCAAAAGACCCGCCUUUGGUGAAGACAAAAUUUGUGGUGCUUAUAUACAUAUAUAAAGAGCUUAUAUCAGAGGAUAGACUACUUCAUUGGGAGCCCUUUCAGUGUUUGUGAUUCUGAAUAAUAGAUCCACCACUCUGCUGAUUCUGUAGUGAACAAAUGUUGUAAUUAUAUGCUUUUGCAGAAUCAUAAAUAAGCAGUGAUAUCAUUGAGUUCCGGAUUAUUCUUUAAGAAGAAUAGAUUUCUGUGAUUAUGUUCUUAUAAAAUUCAGUGAAUAGUUUGGAUAAUGUUUUAUAUUCAAAUCGUCAUCUUAUUAAGGAAGAUCAUUUGUUGGGAUUAUAUUUAUAU